This 1021-nucleotide ribosomal RNA is filed under the name Bacillus altitudinis. RNAcentral describes it as "bacterial SSU rRNA". It matches the Rfam family "Bacterial small subunit ribosomal RNA", at positions 33 to 1038 of the family's 1533-position model. The record is from RNAcentral. Lineage: Bacteria; Bacillati; Bacillota; Bacilli; Caryophanales; Bacillaceae.
GCGGUGGGGCGUGCUAUACAUGCAAGUCGAGCGGACAGAAGGGAGCUUGCUCCCGGAUGUUAGCGGCGGACGGGUGAGUAACACGUGGGUAACCUGCCUGUAAGACUGGGAUAACUCCGGGAAACCGGAGCUAAUACCGGAUAGUUCCUUGAACCGCAUGGUUCAAGGAUGAAAGACGGUUUCGGCUGUCACUUACAGAUGGACCCGCGGCGCAUUAGCUAGUUGGUGAGGUAACGGCUCACCAAGGCGACGAUGCGUAGCCGACCUGAGAGGGUGAUCGGCCACACUGGGACUGAGACACGGCCCAGACUCCUACGGGAGGCAGCAGUAGGGAAUCUUCCGCAAUGGACGAAAGUCUGACGGAGCAACGCCGCGUGAGUGAUGAAGGUUUUCGGAUCGUAAAGCUCUGUUGUUAGGGAAGAACAAGUGCAAGAGUAACUGCUUGCACCUUGACGGUACCUAACCAGAAAGCCACGGCUAACUACGUGCCAGCAGCCGCGGUAAUACGUAGGUGGCAAGCGUUGUCCGGAAUUAUUGGGCGUAAAGGGCUCGCAGGCGGUUUCUUAAGUCUGAUGUGAAAGCCCCCGGCUCAACCGGGGAGGGUCAUUGGAAACUGGGAAACUUGAGUGCAGAAGAGGAGAGUGGAAUUCCACGUGUAGCGGUGAAAUGCGUAGAGAUGUGGAGGAACACCAGUGGCGAAGGCGACUCUCUGGUCUGUAACUGACGCUGAGGAGCGAAAGCGUGGGGAGCGAACAGGAUUAGAUACCCUGGUAGUCCACGCCGUAAACGAUGAGUGCUAAGUGGUUAGGGGGUUUCCGCCCCUUAGUGCUGCAGCUAACGCAUUAAGCACUCCGCCUGGGGAGUACGGUCGCAAGACUGAUACUCAAAGGAAUUGACGGGGGCCCGCACAAGCGGUGGAGCAUGUGGUUUAAUUCGAAGCAACGCGAAGACCCUUACCAGGUCUUGACAUCCUCUGACAACCCUAGAGAUAGGGCUUUCCCUUCGGGGACAGAGUGACAGG